This 505-nucleotide ribosomal RNA is filed under the name uncultured bacterium. RNAcentral's name for it is "partial 16S ribosomal RNA". It matches the Rfam family "Bacterial small subunit ribosomal RNA", at positions 28 to 507 of the family's 1533-position model. The record is from RNAcentral.
GACGAACGCUGGCGGCGUGCCUAAUACAUGCAAGUGGGCCGCAAGGACACACACUGUGCUUGCACACCGUGUUUUCUUGAGUCGCGAACGGGUGAGUAACGCGUAGGUAACCUGCCUCUUAGCCGGGGAUAACUAUUUGUGACGAUAGCUAAUACCGCAUAAUUUUAAUUAUUACAUGAUAAUUGAUUGAAAUAUGCAAGCGCAUCACUAGUAGAUGGACCUGCGUUGUAUUAGCUAGUUGGUAAGGUAAGAGCUUACCAAGGCGACGAUACAUAGCCGACCAGGGAAGGAGAGCGGCCACACUGGGAAGGAGACACGGCCCAGAGUGCUACGGGAGGCAGCAGUAGGGAAUCCUCGGCGAUGGACGAAAGACUGACCGAGCAACGCCGCGUGAGUGAAGAAGGUUAUCGGAUCGGAAAGAUCAGUUGUAAGUGAAGAACGUGUGUGAGAGUGGAAAGUUCACACAGUGACGGUAGCUUAACAGAAAGGGACGGCUAACUACGUG